AUUAUGCUUACUCAUUUAAACAUUUUUAUCAAAUAUCAAGUUCAUAUCAUUUAAUACUUCACAUGAUAGCCUCAUACGAAUAUAGACAAAAAGUGAGACAUUCUCACAACUCUGUAAAUAUCAUCUCAUAUCCACGAUAUAGUCAUCAGCUGAUAUUUAUACCACCAUCUCAUCACAUUACAUGUGAUCCAUCACAAAUGUACCCUCUGACUAAAAUUUGUAAUCCGCCCCUCGGGCUAAGAACUUUCACCACAGGCUUUUGGCCCCCUCCGUGAACGAAAGCCGGUCUCAAAGACCUUUCAUAAUCAAUUCUAGAAUACGGUCAAAGCCCCUCUGUGAACUAUAUGUAUAUGAUCAAGACCAAUGUCAGGUCAAGACCCUCCGUAUAUGAUAGAACAUGGCCAAUGCCCCUCUGUAAACUAGAAGAAUUAUAUAAUCAUGGGUAUUUUUCUGAUCGAUCUCAAUAUCAUAUGUCUCACAUUCCACAUCACAAGUAUUUUCAUAUCUAAUCUUUGAGUUCCCCAAACAUCUUAAUGAAAGAGAUUUUUCCAAAAUAAUCAUGUAAUCGAACAUAUAAUUGCAUAUAAUUGCAAGUACUUUGACAAUAUACUUAAUUUAUAAAUACUUUAAAAAUAUUUAUAUUUUUCCACUCACAGAUUUAUAAAUAAAAAUCUGGCUAAAUUGACAAGUUUUUCCAAACUUUCACGUCACUACUUGAAAUAAUUGUAUAAUUACUCAAAUUAAAACAUCACAAUUAAAUUAAUACAA
Molecule: long non-coding RNA, 768 nt
Filed under: Olea europaea subsp. europaea
Lineage: Eukaryota; Viridiplantae; Streptophyta; Magnoliopsida; Lamiales; Oleaceae
Source: RNAcentral